Molecule: ribosomal RNA, 301 nt
Filed under: uncultured bacterium
Lineage: Bacteria
Description: partial 16S ribosomal RNA
Rfam family: Bacterial small subunit ribosomal RNA
Source: RNAcentral
CAGUCGCCCGGUAAAACGGAGGGGGCUAGCGUUGUUCGGAAUUACUGGGCGUAAAGCGCACGUAGGCGGCUUUGUAAGUUAGAGGUGAAAGCCUGGGGCUCAACUCCAGAAUUGCCUUUAAGACUGCAUCGCUUGAACGUCGGAGAGGUGAGUGGAAUUCCGAGUGUAGAGGUGAAAUUCGUAGAUAUUCAGAAGAACACCAGUGGCGAAGGCGGCUCACUGGACGACUGUUGACGCUGAGGUGCGAGAGCGUGGGGAGCAAACAGGAUUAGAUACCCCCGUAGUCCCUGUCUCUUAUACA